Molecule: long non-coding RNA, 545 nt
Organism: Cheilinus undulatus (humphead wrasse)
Lineage: Eukaryota; Metazoa; Chordata; Actinopteri; Labriformes; Labridae
Exons: 3
Source: RefSeq, a predicted model, not a curated record
GCCUGGUUGUCUUGCAGCCAGUCAGACAAGGACCUGGACAGAGAGAGGGAGCAGGACUUGCUACACCCUCACUAUGCACUAUGCCCCCAAGUACCUGAACCUCAGCACUCUGUCACAUGAAGUCCAUCACACAUCAGUAAUGAAGAACCUUGUGCUGUGAACCUUGAUGAAAUAUCAGGUUCUUUUGAAGAGGAUGGAGUGGUGAUCUAUGAUGACACUCAGAUCAGUAAGCGUCCUCUGGAUGUGUAGUGCUUCUUUGAUAACACUACACUCAAAAAAAAAAACAAGACAAAAGGGAAACCACUGUGGCCAGGAGGACGCUGCCUCCUGCAUGAAUAUCUAUGGAAUGACUGCCUGGACUAGGAGGGCAUGGUUCCUUCUUUUUAACAAGGCCAGGCGUCCACUCUAAUUGCCCAGCAGGCCAAAUGUACUGUUGCAGUAACUGUGUGCACUUAGAAAAAGUAAGUAGCAUUAAAAUGGCAGCAUAAACUGGGCGUGCACAGUUUUGUUAAGCCCUUUAAAAGUUAUGUCACAGGAAACGAAUA